Molecule: RNA transcript, 1640 nt
Organism: Hyla sarda
Lineage: Eukaryota; Metazoa; Chordata; Amphibia; Anura; Hylidae
Gene name: cytochrome c oxidase assembly protein COX18, mitochondrial
Exons: 8
Source: RefSeq, a predicted model, not a curated record
GCUCGCGCAGUCCGGAAGUCACCCAUGACCUCUGCAGGAACUGGGAAUCUCCCGUGAUCAUAGAGUUGAAAAAACUAAGCUCGUAUUAUGCGCCAGCAAGGUCAACGCGGUAUUUCUUUACUCAUAACUCCGGCGCCAUCUGCUGGUUGCAUAUUGGAACUGUAGAAGUAGAACCUUGAUUGAAUGGACGCGUUUGCAACUCUGAGCAAUGUCUUGUAAAUACAUAAAGACCCUGACAAUUUGGACCAGAACCACUGACCUUCUUUCUUUCAAAGUAUUUUUACCAAAACGGUGUCAACAUGCAAGGUCCUUUGGAACUACCAAUAUCAAAAAAUACAAACAAGGACUAAAACAUCCAUCGCAAUUCUCACAGCAUUGUCAUAGAUGUUUUAAUGCUAUUAGUGCCACUCCUUUGUUUGCAUCGUAUGUGCCUGCAUCACACCAACACAGGACUGUUACCUCAGCAGCCGCUCUUGCUGCCGCAUCUGCAGGACAAGUGAACAAUGACUAUGGCAUCUUUGCAAAAAUGUCCGACUCCGCUCCUGUUCAUCUGGCUGAGAAUGUGCUAGUGUCUAUUCAAGAAGUCACAGGGCUACCAUGGUGGGUGAAUAUAAUCUGCACUACAGUAGCACUGAGGACAGCUGUCACCCUCCCUCUGUCAGUAUAUCAGAUGCACAUUCUGGGCAGGGUGGAAAAAUUGCAACCAGAAUUGCAAAAGUUAGCAAAGGAGCUGCACUAUGAGGUGGCUGUUUAUGGGAAGCAGCAUGGCUGGAGUGACAAAGUUGCAAAGUUUCAUUUUCGUAAAAACAUGAAAAGGUUAAUAACAGAACUCUAUGUACGAGAUAAUUGUCAUCCAUUUAAGGCCAGCCUGAUCAUGUGGAUCCAAAUACCCAUGUGGCUCUUUGUUUCUCUGGCUUUGAGGAAUUUCAGCUUUAAUACAAGUGGUUCAAAUGCAGAUGACAUGGUUUACAAGCAGCUACAAAAUGGGGGAACACUGUGGUUCUCAGACCUCACAAUGCCAGAUUCCACAUGGAUUCUCCCAGUACUUUUGGGCUCUAUCAACUUGCUGCUAGUAGAGAUGUUUGCCUUGCGGACGAUGGAGCUGUCUAGAUUUCAGAAAUACUUAACCAAUGUUGUUAGAGGAAUUACUCUUCUAAUGAUUCCUCUUGCUGCCAGUGUCCCCUCAAGGAGAUAGAUAACAGGAUGGAAAGCGAGAACACCUGCAGAAUUUGGAAGUCACUCUCAUGUCUGGCAAAGACUGGUCUAGUGCAAAGAACACAAACAUUUUGGAAACAGUUUAAAUCCUCAUGUUACGAAAUGAUGUUUCGCGAGAGUUUGAUGUUCUAUGGAAUGUGGUGGCGGGAGCACGUUCGGGAUACUUCAGAAAGGAGGCGUGACCUCCGAAACAUUGUCAGUGUUCGACACGGUCUCCGCUGUUCUCUUUUGUGAGAGGAAAGAACCUCCGCUGCAUGAUGCCCGAAUGUGGGUGAAAAUGAUCCGGCAAACGAGGAGUGCCAAGCGUAUUUAGUUGGUGCACCCUGGGUGAACGAUAAGUGUUUAAUCUUUUUGAUACAUCUUGUUGAUAUUUAUGGACUUUGUUCAUCUAUUUUGAAGAAAGAAAAUACUAAAAUUGCAUAAGA